GGGCCUGUAGCUCAGUGGUAGAGCGGUCGGCUCAUAACCGAUUGGUCGUAGGUUCGAACCCUGCCAGGCCCACCA
This 75-nucleotide transfer RNA is filed under the name Dehalococcoidia bacterium. RNAcentral describes it as "tRNA-Ile". It matches the Rfam family "tRNA". Rfam says of the family: Transfer RNA (tRNA) molecules are approximately 80 nucleotides in length. Lineage: Bacteria; Bacillati; Chloroflexota; Dehalococcoidia. The record is from RNAcentral.